CUGAGGGGUCCGGCCUGCUGUGUGCACCUGUCUCUGUCGCCCACCUGCCUCUGCACCGAUCUCCUUCCCAUCUGCCUUGUCAUCUCAGCGCAUGAUCUUGCAGAGGAACAGGCGAAGCAGUGACUGCGCCAUCCAGGGCACUUGAUAGGCUUGUACUGUCUCACUGCUCAGCCGUCUCAUCCAGACCAGCCCAUGGGUUCAGUUUGGCCGCAGGACUAAAGCCAGCCUGAACAUCCUCUCAGUGGCCAGUGGUGGGUGGCCCCUGGGAUGCCAAGCUCAGCCUUGUGACAUGGACACCACAGAACACUGUGAACUGGGGCGCAGCUGCUUCUAG
Long non-coding RNA from Sorex araneus (European shrew), 334 nucleotides. RefSeq lists it as uncharacterized. The transcript has 3 exons. NCBI's taxonomy places the organism in Eukaryota, Metazoa, Chordata, Mammalia, Eulipotyphla, Soricidae. The record is from RefSeq and is a predicted model, not a curated record.